Molecule: long non-coding RNA, 768 nt
Filed under: Homo sapiens (human)
Lineage: Eukaryota; Metazoa; Chordata; Mammalia; Primates; Hominidae
Description: PPP3CB antisense RNA 1
Source: RNAcentral
UGAAUACUGAAGGGUUGGUAGGGGACCAGAGAAUAGAGGAAGCAUUGUAGGUUCUAGAGUGGAGAAGGGACCAUCCAAAAUGGAGUUUGAAAGAGAAUUCUGGCCUUUGUGUUUAGAGUCUGGAAUUGUCAAGAGUCUGAAAGCACAGAAUAAGACUGCAGCUAGAGCAAUUUAGGCGCCAUAGUUUGUCAAAACAGAGUGGGAGGCAUAACUGCUUUGCCUCCAGUCAUCAUCUGGGGGCAUAUCUACUCUUCGAGGACCAGGGGUUCGGGACCCUGGAACAGGAUCUGAAUUCCAAGCUGACCUCAGGGGUACAUGAAGACUGCUAGAUGAGACGGGAUCUCACUGUGUUGCCCAGGCUGGUCUCGAACUGCUGGACUCAAGUCAUCCUCCCAUCUUGGCCUCCCAAAGUGCUGGAAUUACAGUGGACAACCUUCAAUGCACUGGUACUUUGUACCCUGACCUCUACUGUGAUGAACACUCAACUUGGGCAAGGAAGUGAAAUUCUCCAAAGCAAGGAGGAGGGUGCUCUGAAUAGAUGGACCCUGAUUCUACUUACAAAACUGUGGGAAGAAACCGGAGCUUCCUCCCUCUCUGAGACAACGGUGCCACUGAGACUGCGCCCAGCACCUUAGCACCUGAGGCUGCUACCUGAGAAGUACGCACUGUUCUGGCUUCAUGGAGACCAUGCUCCAUUUCUGCUGUUGAAGUCUUUGAGAGACCAGGAUCAUGGGCUGAGUGCAACCUCCUCCCCAUGCCAUCUGCAGA